RNAcentral lists this ribosomal RNA (253 nucleotides) under uncultured bacterium. RNAcentral's name for it is "partial 16S ribosomal RNA". It matches the Rfam family "Bacterial small subunit ribosomal RNA", at positions 524 to 776 of the family's 1533-position model. The record is from RNAcentral.
UACGUAGGGUGCAAGCGUUGUCCGGAAUUAUUGGGCGUAAAGAGCUCGUAGGCGGUUUGUCGCGUCUGCUGUGAAAACUCGGGGCUUAACUCCGGGCCUGCAGUGGGUACGGGCAGACUAGAGUGCGGUAGGGGAGACUGGAAUUCCUGGUGUAGCGGUGAAAUGCGCAGAUAUCAGGAGGAACACCGGUGGCGAAGGCGGGUCUCUGGGCCGGUACUGACGCUGAGGAGCGAAAGCGUGGGGAGCGAACAGG